This 76-nucleotide transfer RNA is filed under the name bacterium. RNAcentral's name for it is "tRNA-Thr". It matches the Rfam family "tRNA". From Rfam's summary of the family: Transfer RNA (tRNA) molecules are approximately 80 nucleotides in length. Their secondary structure includes four short double-helical elements and three loops (D, anti-codon, and T loops). The record is from RNAcentral.
GCCGCUUUAGCUCAGUUGGUAGAGCAACGCAUUUGUAAUGCGUUUGUCCUCGGUUCGAGUCCGAGAAGCGGCUCCA